UGAGGAAUAUUGGUCAAUGGGGGCAACCCUGAACCAGCCAUGCCGCGUGGAGGAAGAAGGCCCUAAGGGUUGUAAACUUCUUUUGUACGGGGGUAACCUCUUCUACGUGUAGAAGACUGAAAGUACUGUACGAAUAAGCAACGGCUAACUCCGUGCCAGCAGCCGCGGUAAUACGGAGGUUGCAAGCGUUAUCCGGAUUUAUUGGGUUUAAAGGGUGCGUAGGCGGGUUUGUAAGUCAGUGGUGAAAGACUGUCGCUUAACGAUAGCAUUGCCAUUGAUACUGCAAGUCUUGAGUACACUUGAGGUAGGCGGAAUGUGUAGUGUAGCGGUGAAAUGCUUAGAUAUUACACAGAACACCAAUUGCGAAGGCAGCUUACUAAAUUGUUACUGACGCUGAGGCACGAAAGCGUGGGGAUCAAACAGG
Molecule: ribosomal RNA, 424 nt
Filed under: uncultured bacterium
Lineage: Bacteria
Description: bacterial SSU rRNA
Rfam family: Bacterial small subunit ribosomal RNA
Source: RNAcentral